UAUUAAGUUGGUGCAAAAGUUAUUGUGAUUUUUGCUGUUACUUUCUAUGAUAAAAACUGCAAUUACUUUUACACCAACCUAAUA
RNAcentral lists this microRNA precursor (84 nucleotides) under Cebus imitator (Panamanian white-faced capuchin). RNAcentral's name for it is "miRNA (ENSCCAG00000011435.1)". Lineage: Eukaryota; Metazoa; Chordata; Mammalia; Primates; Cebidae. The record is from RNAcentral.